Molecule: long non-coding RNA, 938 nt
Filed under: Mytilus galloprovincialis (Mediterranean mussel)
Lineage: Eukaryota; Metazoa; Mollusca; Bivalvia; Mytilida; Mytilidae
Source: RNAcentral
GUGCCAGAUGGAAAGGUGUUGGUUCUGGUAGAACACCAAGGGUUUGGAGUAGUUUUCUCUGUGAAGAUGACAACGAAACGAAAUUUUUCAAGUUUUUUGCUGACAAAUUGCUUCUUAAGAGACUAAUAAAAAUGUGUAUGUUACUCAUGGUGAAAAUAUUCUUUGCAAUUUCAAUAAGGAUACUUCCUAUCUACCCCUUGUAAUCAUGAAGAAGCAGAUACACGAAUGUUUGUCCAUGUUCGGCAUGAUUAUGAAAAGUGUUGUAAAAUGUAAUUUUAGGUAGUACUGACACAGAUGUAAUAGUAUCAAGAAUUGCAGCAAUCGUAAAACUAGGUAGAACACAUUGUGGAUAGGUUAUGGAAGGAAUAAAGACUUUUGUUGGCUUCCUGUACGUGACAUAUCAAAUGCGUUUGGUCCUUGUGUAGCUGCUCUUCCUUUCGUCCAUGCAUUUAGUGGAUGUGACACUUUGUCGAAUUGUCGUGGGAAAGGGAAGAGGUCAGCUUGGCUAACAAUGGAAGGUUUUUCAGAUAUAAAGGACGUUUUUUUUUUGGCUUAAGUAUGAAGCGAGGCACGAUGUGAAUUGUUUGCCAGGAAGCAGCGGCAUUGUGAUGCAAUUCCGCCUACAAGAGGUUCUUUUCCAGAGCACAUCAAAAGAGAAGUAAAUCAAGGAGGAGUUGUUUGGGCUCAGCCUGAUUCAUGUAUUCGACAGGUACAUGUACCAAGUCAUGAACACUGGGGUUGGAUGAAAGAAAGAAUCAAUGACAGUUGGAAACCGAAAUGGACUUCUGUGACUGCCGUUGCAUCCUCGUGUCAGGAACUUUUGAAAUGCGGAGGCAAAAAUCCAGCUGUGUUGGUAACUGUAAAUGCUACCGUUCUGGCUUUCCUUGUACGGGUUGUUGUAUAGGCAACUGUCAGAUAAUUAUAAGAUAAGCAACCUG